RNAcentral lists this ribosomal RNA (309 nucleotides) under uncultured eukaryote. RNAcentral describes it as "partial 18S ribosomal RNA". It matches the Rfam family "Eukaryotic small subunit ribosomal RNA", at positions 1470 to 1796 of the family's 1831-position model. The record is from RNAcentral.
CCCUUAGAUGUUCUGGGCGGCCCGCGCACUACAUUGGCACUGGCAACAAGAUCCUAGAUCUGAUAUUUCGGGGUAUUCUACGAACUGGUGUCGUGACUGGGAUUAACCCCUGCAAUUAUUGGUUAUGAACGAGGAAUUCCUUGUAAUCACGGUUUAUCAACCCGUGUUGAAUGCGUCCCUGCCCUUUGUACACACCGCCCGUCGCUCCUACCGAUGAAUCGUCCGGUGAAGUUCAUGGAGUCGCGGCUGCUCCAGCUGUUUUCGAAGUGAAAUGGACCUCAUGAUUUAGAGGAAGGAGAANUCGUAACA